This 460-nucleotide ribosomal RNA is filed under the name uncultured bacterium. RNAcentral describes it as "partial 16S ribosomal RNA". It matches the Rfam family "Bacterial small subunit ribosomal RNA", at positions 338 to 795 of the family's 1533-position model. The record is from RNAcentral.
CCUACGGGGGGCAGCAGUGAGGAAUAUUGGUCAAUGGGCUUACGCCUGAACCAGCCAAGUCGCGUGAGGGAAGACUGCCCUAUGGGUUGUAAACUUCUUUUAUAAAGGAAUAAAGUGAGGCACGUGUGCCUUUUUGUAUGUACUUUAUGAAUAAGGAUCGGCUAACUCCGUGCCAGCAGCCGCGGUAAUACGGAGGAUCCGAGCGUUAUCCGGAUUUAGUGGGUUUAAAGGGAGCGUAGAUGGGUUGUUAAGUCAGUUGUGAAAGUUUGCGGCUCAACCGUAAAAUUGCAAUUGAUACUGGCAGUCGUGAGUACAGUUGAGGUAGGCGGAAUUCGUGGUGUAGCGGUGAAAUGCUUAGAUAUCACGAAGAACUCCGAUUGCGAAGGCAGCUUACUAAACUGCCACUGACAUUGAUGCUCGAAAGUGUGGGUAUCAAACAGGAUUAGAUACCCCGGUAGUC